Molecule: long non-coding RNA, 422 nt
Organism: Esox lucius (northern pike)
Lineage: Eukaryota; Metazoa; Chordata; Actinopteri; Esociformes; Esocidae
Exons: 2
Source: RefSeq, a predicted model, not a curated record
GACAGGAAGAGAGUGAAACAGUAGAGAGAGAAAGAGAAAAAGAAAGAGAGUUAGUAAGACAAAAUUUCCAACCUAAUACUGGCCGUGAGUAGCAGACUGACAUUUAAAGAAGAGAGAGAAAAAGUCAGACAGGCUGGUGUGAUAUGUGAUAUUUUUCAGCUGUUUCCCUCCAAAUGAACUCAGAGGACAGGCUCCGGAGAACUGAGGGCAGACUGGGACUGGAUCUGAAUAGGAAAACCACACAGAGCAACACCUGGACUUAGUUACAAUCACGUAGAGCAACACCUGGACUAAGCCUUUUAUAAUAACACAGAGCAACACCUGGACUAACUCAGUUAAAGCUGCACUGAGCAAAACCUGGACUAACUCAGUUAAAGCUGCACUGAGCAACACCUGGACUAACUCAGUUAAAGCUGCACUGA